Long non-coding RNA from Prunus persica (peach), 1427 nucleotides. RefSeq lists it as uncharacterized. Lineage: Eukaryota; Viridiplantae; Streptophyta; Magnoliopsida; Rosales; Rosaceae. The transcript is spliced from 4 exons. The record is from RefSeq and is a predicted model, not a curated record.
UUCAAAAUAAAAUGUCAUAUCUACUUCGUCUUUUUGGCCAUGGCCUCCGCCGAGAUCGCGGAGAUCGAUUCCGAUGCUUCGUCGGUGCGCUCCUCUGGAUCACUGACAUGAGGCGCUGGAGAGAGCCUUUUCCUCCUCCGGUGAGAGAUCAUGAAGGACCGUGAGAUCGGUCGGUCCAGGUGUUUCGGAUUCGUUACCUUCAGCGACGACAAGGACAUGCGGAACGGGAUCCAAGGAUGCCAGAGCCUUCAUUUGAGGACAUUUGAUCUUUGUGGUUGUGCACUAGCUCAUGUUGGUGUGAUGGACUUGCUGUGGUUCCCACGAAUCUACCAUAGGUUUUUAAUGCUUUCUUUUGGGCCCGCUAAAUUGUUUGCAACAUGGUUUGAUGUAUAAACGUUGACUUAUCCCUACCUCUCCUCCCAUCUAUUUCUGGUAAUCGCUUCCUCACUAUGUCAGGUGACCAUGGGAACAACAUGGAAGCCAACCUCACCACUAUCUAUCAAGAUCACGAUGACUGAUUUGCACCAUUACACCAAUUGAAGUUAUUAGAGGCUGUCUUUUGCAGCAUUCACACUGCCUGACAACUAGUGGACAUUGACUGUUUUCUCACUGAAUCAGGAAAUAUAUUUUUUCUGAAAGCAAACUGACUACCAGUGCUGCAGCUUAUUGCAAUUGAUCUAUAGCCGAUGAAACUUUAGGACAAAGCAGCUGAGUCGGUGGAAUUUCAGUCACUUUUCUCUUUAUUUUUCAGGAAAAAUGUCUGUAAUGUUUCUCCUCCUCCGUCUGUCAUGGUUCCACCACGUUUCUGGUCCAAUAAGCCCAUAUUACCCAAAAAGUUAUAACGAGUCCAAGUACCCCACGAGGCCCAAUUCUUAGUGGUACAACGUUUAGGCUAAAAACAAGCUAAGACCCAAUUCCUUAACUGGUCCAUUUACAAUUACCUGGCCGAUAAUUUUGGAAAGUACAUCUGUUGGACCAAUGAUAGGCCCAAUAACUAAAAAAUUGGGCGAAUAAGUACACCCAAGGAAAUGAUAAUGGGCCCCAAAUGUUGACCUAAUUAACCUGAAAAUAGGACAACACGUCAGCCCAAUAAUAUAUAAAGGCCCUAUACUCAGCCUAAUUUUUGUCAAACAGGCCCGAAGGUUAGCCCAAUAACUUGAAAAUGGGUUCCCUUCUGGGCCCCGUAAUCUGAAUAUAGCCCCAAAGGUUGCCCAAAUAAAUGUGAAAACGGGCUCAAAGUAAGCCCGAGAUCAUGAAAACUAGCCCAAAAAGGUUAAAUAAAUGCCCAAUAAGGUUAAACAAAUGCCCAAAAACAACAAAAUUAGCUUAAUGACGUCUCAAAAAAGACAAAAUAGGCCCACUGAAGGAUGAGUAAACGACAAGGAGGCCCAUGAAUACCCAUAAAACGACAAAAUAGGCCCAUAAAA